Molecule: ribosomal RNA, 444 nt
Filed under: uncultured bacterium
Lineage: Bacteria
Description: partial 16S ribosomal RNA
Rfam family: Bacterial small subunit ribosomal RNA
Source: RNAcentral
CCUACGGGCGGCAGCAGUGGGGAAUAGUGGGCAAUGGAGGCAACUCUUACCCAGCAAUGCCGCGUGAAUGAAGAAGGUCUGCGGAUUGUAAAGUUCUUUAAUUGGGGACGAAAAAAAUGACGGUACCCAAGGAAUAAGCCCCGGCUAACUACGGGCCAGCAGCCGCGGUAAUACGUCGGGGGCAAGCGUUGUUCGGAAUGACUGGGCGUAAAGGGUGUGUAGGCGGUGUAGCAAGUUAGAAGUGAAAUACCUAGAGCUUAACUCAGGUGCUGCUUCUAAAACUGCUAUACUUGAGUGCAGGAGAGGCAAGUGGAAUUCCUCGUGUAGCGGUUUAAUGCGUAGAUAUUAGGCGGCACCUCAGUGGCGAAGGCGACUUUCUGGACUGUAACUGACGCUGAGGCACGAACGUGUGGGGCGCAAACCGGAUUAGAUACCCCGGUAGUC